Molecule: ribosomal RNA, 200 nt
Filed under: uncultured bacterium
Lineage: Bacteria
Description: partial 16S ribosomal RNA
Rfam family: Bacterial small subunit ribosomal RNA
Source: RNAcentral
AGAGUUUGAUCCUGGCUCAGGACGAACGCUGGCGGCGUGCUUAACACAUGCAAGUCACGGGGGCCCGCAAGGGCAACCGGCGAACGGGUGCGUAACACGUGAGCAACCUGCCUUGAUGUGGGGGAUAGCCGGCCCAACGGCCGGGUAAUACCGCAUACGAUCAGUGGGAGGAGUCUCCUGCUGAGGAAACCUCCGGGGCA